UACGUAGGGUGCGAGCGUUGCCCGGAUUUAUUGGGCGUAAAGGGCGCGUAGGCGGCUCGGCACGUCCGUUGUGAAAUCGCCCGGCUCAACUGGGCGGGGUCAGCGGAUACGGUCGAGCUCGAGCAAGCUAGGGGGCAAUGGAAUUCCCGGUGUAGUGGUGGAAUGCGCAGAUAUCGGGAGGAACACCAAUGGCGAAGGCAGCUCGCUGGGACGUUACUGACGCUGAGACGCGAAAGCGUGGGGAGCAAACAGG
This 253-nucleotide ribosomal RNA is filed under the name uncultured bacterium. Its description in RNAcentral is "partial 16S ribosomal RNA". It matches the Rfam family "Bacterial small subunit ribosomal RNA", at positions 524 to 776 of the family's 1533-position model. The record is from RNAcentral.